This 73-nucleotide transfer RNA is filed under the name Sphaerodactylus townsendi. RNAcentral describes it as "tRNA-Ser". It matches the Rfam family "tRNA". From Rfam's summary of the family: Transfer RNA (tRNA) molecules are approximately 80 nucleotides in length. Their secondary structure includes four short double-helical elements and three loops (D, anti-codon, and T loops). Further hydrogen bonds mediate the characteristic L-shaped molecular structure. tRNAs have two regions of fundamental functional importance: the anti-codon, which is responsible for specific mRNA codon recognition, and the 3' end, to which the tRNAs corresponding amino acid is attached (by aminoacyl-tRNA synthetases). tRNAs cope with the degeneracy of the genetic code in two manners: having more than one tRNA (with a specific anti-codon) for a particular amino acid; and 'wobble' base-pairing, i.e. permitting non-standard base-pairing at the 3rd anti-codon position. Lineage: Eukaryota; Metazoa; Chordata; Lepidosauria; Squamata; Sphaerodactylidae. The record is from RNAcentral.
GCUUCUAUGGCAUAGUGGAUUGAGCAUUUGCCUACUGGGCAAAAGGUUGCUAGUUCAAGCCCAGCCAGGGACA